Molecule: ribosomal RNA, 448 nt
Filed under: uncultured bacterium
Lineage: Bacteria
Description: bacterial SSU rRNA
Rfam family: Bacterial small subunit ribosomal RNA
Source: RNAcentral
UGCCCAGACUCCUACGGGAGGCAGCAGUGGGGAAUAUUGCACAAUGGGGGGAACCCUGAUGCAGCGACGCCGCGUGGGUGAAGGAGUAUUUCGGUAUGUAAAGCCCUAUCAGCAGGGAAGAACAAUGACGGUACCUGACUAAGAAGCACCGGCUAAAUACGUGCCAGCAGCCGCGGUAAUACGUAUGGUGCAAGCGUUAUCCGGAUUUACUGGGUGUAAAGGGAGCGCAGGCGGCGCGUUAAGCCUGGUGUGAAAGCCCGCGGCCCAACCGCGGGACUGCAUUUGGAACUGUAAGGCUAGAGUGUCGGAGAGGCAGGCGGAAUUCCUAGUGUAGCGGUGAAAUGCGUAGAUAUUAGGAGGAACACCAGUGGCGAAGGCGGCCUGCUGGACGAUGACUGACGUUGAGGCUCGAAAGCGUGGGGAGCAAACAGGAUUAGAUACCCCAGUA